RNAcentral lists this ribosomal RNA (484 nucleotides) under uncultured bacterium. RNAcentral's name for it is "partial 16S ribosomal RNA". It matches the Rfam family "Bacterial small subunit ribosomal RNA", at positions 30 to 507 of the family's 1533-position model. The record is from RNAcentral.
AUUGAACGCUGGCGGCAGGCCUAACACAUGCAAGUCGAGCGGAUGAAGGGAGCUUGCUCCUGGAUUCAGCGGCGGACGGGUGAGUAAUGCCUAGGAAUCUGCCUGGUAGUGGGGGAUAACGUCCGGAAACGGGCGCUAAUACCGCAUACGUCCUGAGGGAGAAAGUGGGGGAUCUUCGGACCUCACGCUAUCAGAUGAGCCUAGGUCGGAUUAGCUAGUUGGUGGGGUGAAGGCCUACCAAGGCGACGAUCCGUAACUGGUCUGAGAGGAUGAUCAGUCACACGGGAACUGAGACACGGUCCAGACUCCUACGGGAGGCAGCAGUGGGGAAUAUUAGGCAAUGGGGGAAAGCCUGAUCCAGCCAUGCCGCGUGUGUGAAGAAGGUCUUCGGAUUGUAAAGCACUUUAAGUUGGGGGGAAGGGCAGUAAGUUAAUACCUUGCUGUUUUGACGUUACCAGGAGAAUAAGCACCGGCUAACUUCGUG